UUAAUUGAAACCAAAAAGAGGUCUGUCACUGUUAAUGAUAUCAAUGGAAAACAUCCCAAUUAAA
RNAcentral lists this transfer RNA (64 nucleotides) under Euwallacea fornicatus. RNAcentral's name for it is "tRNA-Asn". Lineage: Eukaryota; Metazoa; Arthropoda; Insecta; Coleoptera; Curculionidae. The record is from RNAcentral.